Molecule: long non-coding RNA, 732 nt
Organism: Amblyraja radiata (thorny skate)
Lineage: Eukaryota; Metazoa; Chordata; Chondrichthyes; Rajiformes; Rajidae
Exons: 3
Source: RefSeq, a predicted model, not a curated record
GACAUGUGUAGCACUACAUUGUGCCCCAUGAGUGGUGAACCCAGAGAGAGCCAGCAGCAUUAACAGCAGGGUCGGUGAUGGUAAGUAAGAAGAAACAAUUAAGGCUUUUCCCAUCCUCACUAUGUUCCUGUAAACCUUAAAGAUAUUAUAAAACCAGCAGGGAGUGGCUACAAUGAAAGUACAGAACACAGUCAGGCCCUGUGGGAAAAAAAGAUGCCAAUCAGAUCAUUGCCCCAAAGGAUAAUCCCCAGUUGUCACAUUAAAAGAAAUGUAAAAGGAAAUCUGUAGAAAAUCUAUAUUAUGCUCAAAAAUCAUGUGAUCUUCAGUAUAGCUUCAGAGGCAAUAACAUCACACAUUAGUUUGAAUGUAGUUUGCACAGGCAGUCUGUACGCGUAUUAACUCCCUGCACAGAGCGCUGUGCUUGAAAUUCACACGGCUUCAUCUUUUAAUUUUGAUUCCCAGAUUUGAAUUGUGAUUCACUGAACAGGGUCCAGACUGCCAAAAAUUCUCCUUAGUUUACCAUAGGAUCAGCAAUUCACACAAUAAAAGUCAAUGAACAGUAAGGAAUGUUGCAGUUGUGAAUUCUCAGUAAAACAUAUCAAGGACAAGCUUUUUGUAGUUCCUUGCUUUUCUCUACAUACCUGAUUGUUAAAAACUUGGAUUCUAGCAUUUGAAAUAUGCAGAAAGCCGUAAGAGAAAACAAAAAAAUCUUUGAGUGAAGAAUGUAACAUU